Molecule: ribosomal RNA, 309 nt
Filed under: Triticum aestivum (bread wheat)
Lineage: Eukaryota; Viridiplantae; Streptophyta; Magnoliopsida; Poales; Poaceae
Description: partial small subunit ribosomal RNA
Source: RNAcentral
AGUUAUAGGGAGGGACUUAUGUCACCACAAACAGAAACUAAAGCAGGUGUUGGAUUUAAAGCUGGUGUUAAAGAUUAUAAAUUGACUUACUACACCCUAGAGUAUGAAACUAAGGAUACUGAUAUCUUGGCAGCAUUCCGAGUAAGUCCUCAGCCUGGGGUUCCGCCCGAAGAAGCAGGGGCUGCAGUAGCUGCCGAAUCUUCUACUGGUACAUGGACAACUGUUUGGACUGAUGGACUUACCAGUCUUGAUCGUUACAAAGGACGAUGCUGUCACAUCGAGCCUGUUGCUGGGGAAGACAACCCGUAA